This 205-nucleotide long non-coding RNA is filed under the name Elaeis guineensis (African oil palm). RNAcentral describes it as "long non-coding RNA (EGUI_LNC012270)". The record is from RNAcentral. Lineage: Eukaryota; Viridiplantae; Streptophyta; Magnoliopsida; Arecales; Arecaceae.
GGCUCCACCAGCCGGAUCUCUACUCCGAACUUCUAUUGCAAGCGGACUUCAUCCGAGCUUCUACAGUAAGAAGUCUCCAUCCGAGCUUUCACGACAACCGAUCUUCGUCCGAGCUUCUACAGUAAGCGACCUCCUUCCAAACUCCUACAAGAAUCGGACUCUGUCCGAACUUCUACAAUAGAAUUGAAUUCCAGACUCCUCCAGC